RNAcentral lists this ribosomal RNA (1564 nucleotides) under Staphylococcus aureus. RNAcentral describes it as "bacterial SSU rRNA". The stretch from base 1 to 945 matches the Rfam family "Bacterial small subunit ribosomal RNA", at positions 590 to 1533 of the family's 1533-position model. Lineage: Bacteria; Bacillati; Bacillota; Bacilli; Caryophanales; Staphylococcaceae. The record is from RNAcentral.
UGAUGUGAAAGCCCACGGCUCAACCGUGGAGGGUCAUUGGAAACUGGAAAACUUGAGUGCAGAAGAGGAAAGUGGAAUUCCAUGUGUAGCGGUGAAAUGCGCAGAGAUAUGGAGGAACACCAGUGGCGAAGGCGACUUUCUGGUCUGUAACUGACGCUGAUGUGCGAAAGCGUGGGGAUCAAACAGGAUUAGAUACCCUGGUAGUCCACGCCGUAAACGAUGAGUGCUAAGUGUUAGGGGGUUUCCGCCCUUAGUGCUGCAGCUAACGCAUUAAGCACUCCGCCUGGGGAGUACGACCGCAAGGUUGAAACUCAAAGGAAUUGACGGGGACCCGCACAAGCGGUGGAGCAUGUGGUUUAAUUCGAAGCAACGCGAAGAACCUUACCAAAUCUUGACAUCCUUUGACAACUCUAGAGAUAGAGCCUUCCCCUUCGGGGGACAAAGUGACAGGUGGUGCAUGGUUGUCGUCAGCUCGUGUCGUGAGAUGUUGGGUUAAGUCCCGCAACGAGCGCAACCCUUAAGCUUAGUUGCCAUCAUUAAGUUGGGCACUCUAAGUUGACUGCCGGUGACAAACCGGAGGAAGGUGGGGAUGACGUCAAAUCAUCAUGCCCCUUAUGAUUUGGGCUACACACGUGCUACAAUGGACAAUACAAAGGGCAGCGAAACCGCGAGGUCAAGCAAAUCCCAUAAAGUUGUUCUCAGUUCGGAUUGUAGUCUGCAACUCGACUACAUGAAGCUGGAAUCGCUAGUAAUCGUAGAUCAGCAUGCUACGGUGAAUACGUUCCCGGGUCUUGUACACACCGCCCGUCACACCACGAGAGUUUGUAACACCCGAAGCCGGUGGAGUAACCUUUUAGGAGCUAGCCGUCGAAGGUGGGACAAAUGAUUGGGGUGAAGUCGUAACAAGGUAGCCGUAUCGGAAGGUGCGGCUGGAUCACCUCCUUUCUAAGGAUAUAUUCGGAACAUCUUCUUCAGAAGAUGCGGAAUAAUGUGACAUAUUGUAUUCAGUUUUGAAUGUUUAUUUAACAUUCAAAUAUUUUUUGGUUAAAGUGAUAUUGCUUAUGCGAGCGCUUGACUAAAAAGAAAUUGUACAUUGAAAACUAGAUAAGUAAGUAAAAUAUAGAUUUUACCAAGCAAAACCGAGUGAAUAAAGAGUUUUAAAUAAGCUUGAAUUCAUAAGAAAUAAUCGCUAGUGUUCGAAAGAACACUCACAAGAUUAAUAACGCGUUUCCUGUAGGAUGGAAACAUAGAUUAAGUUAUUAAGGGCGCACGGUGGAUGCCUUGGCACUAGAAGCCGAUGAAGGACGUUACUAACGACGAUAUGCUUUGGGGAGCUGUAAGUAAGCUUUGAUCCAGAGAUUUCCGAAUGGGGAAACCCAGCAUGAGUUAUGUCAUGUUAUCGAUAUGUGAAUACAUAGCAUAUCAGAAGGCACACCCGGAGAACUGAAACAUCUUAGUACCCGGAGGAAGAGAAAGAAAAUUCGAUUCCCUUAGUAGCGGCGAGCGAAACGGGAAGAGCCCAAACCAACAAGCUUGCUUGUUGGGGUUGUAGGACACUCUAUAC